AUACGGAGGAUGCAAGCGUUAUCCGGAUUUAUUGGGUUUAAAGGGUGCGUAGGCGGUUUGCUAAGCGGGAGGUGAAAUGCCGGCGCUCAACGUCGGAAGUGCCUCCCGAACUGGUGGACUUGAAUGACUCUGCCGUGGGAGGAAUGUGUAGUGUAGCGGUGAAAUGCUUAGAUAUCAUGAAGAACUCCGAUUGCGAAGGCAGUCCGCUGGGGCACGUCUGACGCUGAUGCUCGAAGGUGCGGGAAUCAAACAGGAUUAGAUACCCUGGUAGUCCGCACGGUAAACGAUGAUUACCCGCUGUCGGCGGCAGACAGUCGGCGGCCAAGCGAAAGCGAUAAGCGCCCCACCUGGGGAGUACGGUCGCAAGGCUGAAACUCAAAUGAAUUGGCGGGG
This 393-nucleotide ribosomal RNA is filed under the name uncultured bacterium. RNAcentral's name for it is "partial 16S ribosomal RNA". It matches the Rfam family "Bacterial small subunit ribosomal RNA", at positions 523 to 918 of the family's 1533-position model. The record is from RNAcentral.